RNAcentral lists this ribosomal RNA (253 nucleotides) under uncultured bacterium. RNAcentral's name for it is "partial 16S ribosomal RNA". It matches the Rfam family "Bacterial small subunit ribosomal RNA", at positions 524 to 776 of the family's 1533-position model. The record is from RNAcentral.
AACGUAGGAGACAAACGUUAUCCGGAGUUACUGGGCGUAAAGGGCGUGUAGGUGGUCAUGUAAGUCUGGCGUGAAAUUUUUCGGCUUAACCGGGAAAGGUCGUCGGAUACUGUAUGACUAGAGGACGGUAGAGGCGUGUGGAAUUCCGGGUGUAGUGGUGAAAUGCGUAGAGAGGCGGAGGAACACCAGUGGCGAAGGCGGCACGCUGGGCCGUUCCUGACACUGAGGCGCGAUAGCGUGGGGAGCAAACAGG